GUGAAUCAUCAAAUUUUUGAACGCAAAUUGCACUCUCUGGCAUUCCGGAGAGUAUGCCUGUUUGAGGGUCAGUAUAAUCAAAAUCGGAGCGAUUCUGUUUGGAUAUGGGACCUGAGUUUGUUCCAUGUCACAUUUUUUUUAAAUGACAUAAAAUUAACAUUUUUUUUUACAGAUUUUGGGAAUAUGCAUAAUUUUUUUUAAUCAGAAA
RNAcentral lists this unclassified non-coding RNA (208 nucleotides) under Glomeraceae sp. Its description in RNAcentral is "partial contains 5.8S ribosomal RNA and internal transcribed spacer 2". The stretch from base 1 to 71 matches the Rfam family "5.8S ribosomal RNA", at positions 84 to 154 of the family's 154-position model. Lineage: Eukaryota; Fungi; Glomeromycota; Glomeromycetes; Glomerales; Glomeraceae. The record is from RNAcentral.